Molecule: ribosomal RNA, 253 nt
Filed under: uncultured bacterium
Lineage: Bacteria
Description: partial 16S ribosomal RNA
Rfam family: Bacterial small subunit ribosomal RNA
Source: RNAcentral
UACGUAGGUGGCAAGCGUUGUCCGGAUUUAUUGGGUUUAAAGGGUGCGUAGGCGGCCCCAUAAGUCAGUGCUGAAAUACUCUAGCUCAACUAGAGGGGUGCCAUUGAUACUGAUGAGCUUGAGUACAGAUGAGGUAGGCGGAAUUGACGGUGUAGCGGUGAAAUGCUUAGAUAUCGUCAAGAACACCUAUAGCGAAGGUAGCUUACUAGGCUGUAACUGACGCUGAGGCACGAAAGUGUGGGGAUCAAACAGG